RNAcentral lists this ribosomal RNA (1029 nucleotides) under Triticum aestivum (bread wheat). Its description in RNAcentral is "partial small subunit ribosomal RNA". The record is from RNAcentral. Lineage: Eukaryota; Viridiplantae; Streptophyta; Magnoliopsida; Poales; Poaceae.
AUGUGUGCCACCAUGAAUAUGUCUGUUGGUGUGUUAUCUUGGAAUGUCAGGGGGCUCAAUAACCCCGCUAGGCGUAGCUCUAUUCGUUUGUUUCUGCAAACCUGUGAUGUAUCACUUGUCCGUCUCCAAGAAUCUAAAUUGGCCAUGGUGGAUGCUGGGGUGGUUAGUCAAGCUCUGGGCCCUGCUUUUGAUGGGUUUGCCUUCCUUCCUGCUGAUGGGACCAGAGGGGGUAUUAUUAUGGCCUGGAAGCAGGACUGCUUGCAUAUUUCUUCAGUGCAUAAGGGGGAAUUUUCCAUCACAAUUAAGGUGUCUUCUCUGUCAGAUGGCAAAGAGUGGAUGGCGACUUCAGUUUAUGGGCCUCAAGAGGAGGACAAGAUUAGAUUUCUGGAGGAAAUCGUUGGCCUUGGUUCCAAUAUCCAGCUCCCUUGGAUUGUGAAUGGGGACUUUAAUUUGGUGUGCAACGUCGAAGAACGUAGUACGCUCAGAUUCAAUAGAAGGCUGGCUAACAAGUUCAGACACACCAUCAACUCUUUGGGUUUGUAUGACAUGCCAUUGGUGGGGAGGAGAUUCACCUGGUGCAAUAAUCAAGAGAACAUAGUGAUGGCCAGGUUGGAUCGGUUUUUAUUCAAUAAUGCCUGGGAGGAUGUCUUCCCAAUUAGCGACCUGUUACCUCUAAGCUCCAACAUCUCUGAUCACUGCCCUCUGCUGAUGAGCUGCUCUUUGGACAGACCAAGAACUCGCCGCUUCCACUUUGAAAAUGUCUGGGUCAGGUUACCAGGUUUUAUGGAGAUUGUCAAGGAGGCGUGGGAGGAAGAAGUCGAUUCCGGUGAUGCCAUGUGGAUUUUCUGUAUCAAGCUUGGUCGAACAGCUAGGGCUCUCUGUAGUUGGGGGCAGAAGAGACAGAGUGCCUUGAAUCUUCAGUUUCAGAUAGCCAACGAGGUGAUUUUGCAUCUAGAUGGUGCUCAAAAGGCCAGGCAACUAUCUACUGAUGAACGAAGAUUGAGGGUUUUUCUCAAGGGAAGUGUCUAG